Molecule: ribosomal RNA, 292 nt
Filed under: uncultured bacterium
Lineage: Bacteria
Description: partial 16S ribosomal RNA
Rfam family: Bacterial small subunit ribosomal RNA
Source: RNAcentral
GUGCCAGCAGCCGCGGUAAUACGGAGGGUGCAAGCGUUGUUCGGAUUUAUUGGGCGUAAAGGGCGUGUAGGCGGUUCGUUAAGUCUGAUGUGAAAGCCCCGGGCUCAACCCGGGAAGUGCAUUGGAAACUGGCGAACUUGAGUACGGGAGAGGGCAGUGGAAUUCCUAGUGUAGGAGUGAAAUCCGUAGAUAUUAGGAGGAACACCGGUGGCGAAGGCGGCUGCCUGGACCGAUACUGACGCUGAGACGCGAAAGCGUGGGGAGCAAACAGGAUUAGAUACCCUGGUAGUCC